UACGGGAGGCAGCAGUGGGGAAUAUUGCACAAUGGGCGAAAGCCUGAUGCAGCUAUGCCGCGUGUAUGAAGAAGGCCUUAGGGUUGUAAAGUACUUUCAUCGGGGAGGAAAAACAAACUAAUAAUUUUAUUUCUUGACGUUACCCGAAAAAGAAGCACCGGCUAACUCCGUGCCAGCAGCCGCGGUAAUACGGAGGGUGCUAGCGUUAAUCAGAAUUACUGGGCGUAAAGAGCACGUAGGUGGUUUUUUUAAGUCAGAUGUGAAAUCCCUGGGCUUAACCUAGGAACUGCAUUUUGAAACUGAAAUACUAGAGUAUCGUAGAGGGAGGUAGAAUUCUAGGUGUAGCGGUGAAAUGCGUAGAUAUCUGGAGGAAUACCUGUGGCGAAAGCGGCCUCCUAAACGAAUACUGACACUGAGGUGCGAAAGCGUGGGGAGCGAAACAGGGAUUAGAUACC
RNAcentral lists this ribosomal RNA (455 nucleotides) under uncultured bacterium. RNAcentral describes it as "bacterial SSU rRNA". It matches the Rfam family "Bacterial small subunit ribosomal RNA", at positions 340 to 786 of the family's 1533-position model. The record is from RNAcentral.